This 447-nucleotide ribosomal RNA is filed under the name uncultured bacterium. RNAcentral describes it as "bacterial SSU rRNA". It matches the Rfam family "Bacterial small subunit ribosomal RNA", at positions 355 to 825 of the family's 1533-position model. The record is from RNAcentral.
UGGGGAAUAUUGGACAAUGGGGGGAACCCUGAUCCAGCAAUGCCGCGUGUGUGAAGAAGGCCUGAGGGUUGUAAAAUCCUUUCGUUGGGGACGAUAAUGACGGUACCCAAAGAAGAAGCUCCGGCUAACAUCGUGCCAGCAGCCGCGGUAAUACGAAGGGGGCUAGCGUUGUUCGGAUUUACUGGGCGUAAAGCGCGUGUAGGCGGAUUUGUAAGUUGGGGGUGAAAUCCCGAGGCUCAACCUCGGAACUGCCUCCAAAACUACAAGUCUGGACCUAAGUAGAGGCAAGUGGAAUUGCGAGUGUAGAGGUGAAAUUCGUAGAUAUUCGCAGGAACACCUGAGGUGAAGACGGGUUGCUGGGCUGACACUGACGCUGAGGCGCGAAAGCCAGGGGAGCAAACGGGAUUAGAUACCCCUGUAGUCCCUGAGCGGGCUGGCAAGGCGCAU